GUACAUCCAUCGCGGCAUCGCCGCGCGUCAUUUCCAGCGCACUUUUGUGCUGGCCGACGGGAUGUAUGUCAUCGGCGCAGACCUGAAGAACGGCCUGCUGUCGAUCGAUCUGGCUCGUCCCGAGCCUGAACGGGUCGUUAAGACGAUAGCCAUCAAUGAGCACGAAUAAUGGAACGAGUAGCGGACUCGACCGCUUAACAACUGCAAGGAGUCGAGACCAUGACUGAAGGUAGUGUCAUCUUUGAGCCCGCCGUCUC
RNAcentral lists this unclassified non-coding RNA (257 nucleotides) under Hevea brasiliensis (rubber tree). Lineage: Eukaryota; Viridiplantae; Streptophyta; Magnoliopsida; Malpighiales; Euphorbiaceae. The record is from RNAcentral.